GUAGUCCACGCCGUAAACGAUGAGUGCUAAGUGUUAGGGGGUUUCCACCCCUUAGUGCUGCAGCUAACGCAUUAAGCACUCCGCCUGGGGAGUACGGUCGCAAGACUGAAACUCAAAGGAAUUGACGGGGGCCCGCACAAGCGGUGGAGCAUGUGGUUUAAUUCGAAGCAACGCGAAGAACCUUACCAGGUCUUGACAUCCCGCUGACCGCUAUGGAGACAUAGCCUUCCCUUCGGGGACAGCGGUGACAGGUGGUGCAUGGUUGUCGUCAGCUCGUGUCGUGAGAUGUUGGGUUAAGUCCCGCAACGAGCGCAACCCUUGUCCUUAGUUGCCAUCAUUCAGUUGGGCACUCUAAGGAGACUGCCGUACAAAUACGGA
Molecule: ribosomal RNA, 378 nt
Filed under: uncultured bacterium
Lineage: Bacteria
Description: bacterial SSU rRNA
Rfam family: Bacterial small subunit ribosomal RNA
Source: RNAcentral